Chelonia mydas (Green sea turtle) is the source of this 2813-nucleotide long non-coding RNA. RefSeq lists it as uncharacterized. Lineage: Eukaryota; Metazoa; Chordata; Testudines; Cheloniidae. The record is from RefSeq and is a predicted model, not a curated record. The transcript is spliced from 3 exons.
UCUCCUGAGGUCCCUUCCAACCCUAAUAUUCUAUGAUUCUAUGAUAAAGGAAUGUUGCAUAUUCAUUAGGCAGACUGCAUGUUCAGGAGUUGAAAAUGUCACCUAAGCCAAUCCCAAAAUCAUGGAGUCAAAAAAUUAACCAGAAUCUAAAACAAUUAUAAAAGAGGUUUGUUUUCCUAUAAUUUCACAAAAAUAAGAAGGGAUAAAAGACUCUGAAAUAAACACCUCGUGCUCACACACUCCCAGUACUCAUGGAGAAAGCACGCCCUAACUCAUCCUGUCCAUCUCCACAAGCAAGCUGCCACAGACAGAUAAGAAAAACAGAAAAGACUCCAGAAGAAACAACCCAAAGCAACCUCUCCACGACUUCAACAUGGAUCGGUUUCCAGGUCGGGAUAGGGGUGCGCAUCUUGGGGGGCUGUACGUCAUUCAAAGCUGGUAGAGCAUCUGCAUGCAAUGGAAUUGCUUUAACAGAAGGCUCGAGCCCACGCUUCCGAGGUCAGAAUGGAGCCCUAACUCUCUACCCCGAAGUUGGAUGCUGAAGAAAGAUGGAACCAUUCAGAUAUAGUCAGCAGCCUCAGCCAAUGCUGUGCAAAGAGGCAGAUUCUCAAAGGCUGGUUUGCUGUCAAAUAAUGAGAGCCUUUAUUGGAGGGAAGAGCCCAACCGGCACAGCCUUGGGGAAACAUCAUUUAUGCGGGGAAGAGCACAGACAGAGCAACAACCUGGCAGGUCUUUCCUGUAUCCUGUAGCUGCAGACUAGGCUGUGAAGCAUAUGACACUCACAUCUGACGGGUGUCAAUAAUUGCACAAGGUGCAAGGUAGUGGAAAAUCAGCCCCACAGAGUGACCUACAUAUUUCAAAGAAGAAUGCAUUAACUGUGCCCCAUCUAUGCUGUGCACUGAAUGCGUCAGGGCGCUGGCGGAAAAAUUAGUAUGGAAUCGUGUAAUUAAAGACUGUAUCACAACCCAUCCACAUAAGGGAGCCAAAUUAAGGUUGAACUGGCAGGAUCAAGCACAGUAGCCAACAUUUUCAAAAAUGACUGCUAUUUUUGGGUGCUUGGCUUGAGGUACCAUAGGAGCUGCCACCCAAAAUACGGGUCAUGCUGGGCCAGUCAGAAACUGAGCUACGUGGGCAGAAGAGUUUUGCUGAGCAUUGUUUGCUGGAGCUCUGUGUGGGUUCGUGUGCGCAGAUACGAACUGGAAACACCACCGGAGACAAAGCAGGCAGCAAGAAAGCACCAGGCACAGCCACAGAAGCACUGGUAGUGUGACUCUGAGAAAAGCUGAGAGAGAGAGAGAGCUUUUGGGUGAAGUGCUGACCGGAAAGAGGCUUGGAUCUUUGAACUAAGAAACUGUCUUUCGCUGUUUGAUUCCUAUUGUGAUUAGGGAAAAAGGGCUUUAUGAACAUUCUUUGUAAAUAAGCACAUUUGCACCAAAGAAAUACCUGACUCCAUCAUCAAUUUCUCCUCCUAAUGGGAAUAACCCGCAAGACCUCCAAAAAUGGCUAACUGCUCAGGUCAAAGGAUGUAACAGUAAUAUUAUUAUUAUCACCAUGGACAGGUGCCAAAUUGAGGUGUUUUGAAGUAAAUGCAGAUUUGAUUAACUAGCCAGACACCAGAAAUUAACCCCUGACUGCUGCUUCUCUUUAGCUUUUAAACAUCUAUGCUGCAAUAAAGAAUAUGAGCCAGCACUGGCAGGCAUAUUGGUCCAGGUACUUGGUGUGCAAGGCAACAUUCACCAAGCUGACAAAAAGAAAAAAGAGUCACAGAAGAAAUCAACCCAUGGCCAUUAGUGCCUUUCAUAGAAUCAAAGAAUCAUAGAAUAACAGAGUUGGAAGGGACCUCUGGAGGUCAUCUAGUCCAACCCCCUGCCCAGAGCAGGACCAAUCCCAACAGCAGGACCAAUCCCAACUUGAUUGCCUGUCUGAAACAGCUGUCCAUGCUAGCAAUACAAAUCUAUUUCUUUAACCCAUUCUAAUCACAGCAUAGGCACUAUUUGCCCGCUAGGUGAAACUGAAUCUUUCCACUGAGAAGCUGGCUAAAUCACAAACCAAGACUGGCUUGGAUUUGCAGCAUGUAGGGCAGGGGUUCUAAAACUUCGUGGCACCGCGGCCCUCUUUGACAACAAAAAUUACUUCACAACCCCAGGAGUGGGGACCGAAGUCUGAAUCCAUCUAAGCCCCACUGCCCCGGUGGGGGAGGGGGGAUCAAAGCCUGAACCCCACUGCUCUGGGCAAGGGGGCAAAAGCUGAAAUGCAAGGGCUUCAGACCCAGGCAGGGGGCCUGCAACCUGAGCCCUGCUGCCCAGGGCUGAAGUCCUCGGCCUUUGGCUUCGGCCCUGGGCAGUGGGGCUCGGGCUUCAGCUCCGGAACCCAGCAAGUUUAAGCCAGCCCUGGCGACCCAUUCAAAGGGGGUUGCGACCCACUUUGGGGCCCCACCCACAGUUUGAGAACUGCUAAUCUAGCGUAUUUUCCGCUUGAAUAGGUUUCCUCAAAUGCAAGUGACAAUGAUAGACAAGGGGGGUGAGGUAAUAUCUUUUAUUGGACCAACACACAAAGUGGUGCGGAUUUAAUGAAAGGUGUGAUUUUGCACCAAUUUAGUUGAAUAGGUGCAACUUUCUGUGUGAACGCUCCUGUAUCAGUUUAAGCUUCAUGUGUAGCAGUUUAACUUGCGCUGGCAAAUUUACAAGUGCAAGCAGAUCGAGGGAUGUGAUCGUUCCCCUCUAUUCGACAUUGGUGAGGCCUCAUCUGGAGUACUGUGUCCAGUUUUGGGCCCCCCACUACAAGAAGGAUGUGGAAAAAUUGGAAAACGUCCA